This 430-nucleotide long non-coding RNA is filed under the name Vigna radiata. RNAcentral describes it as "long non-coding RNA (VRAD_LNC017427)". Lineage: Eukaryota; Viridiplantae; Streptophyta; Magnoliopsida; Fabales; Fabaceae. The record is from RNAcentral.
ACAAUAGAGUGUAUCAGAAAAUAGAAAAAAAUCUAAGACAAAGGGUUGGAAGAAAAAACUAAGGGGGAGAUUGAAUAAAUGAACAAUACCUAUAAUUUUAAUUAUAGAGAAUUAUAGAUAAUGAGGGAAAGAUUGAAUAAAUGAACAAAAGAAGAAACGGAGAAACGAAACCCUGAAAAGGAGAUUGUAAUAUUUAUUAUUAGGUUUAAUAGGUUCGGAGGUCCCUAUAUUUGGGGUUUGUUUCAAUUGGGUCCUCGAAUUUUGAAAGUGAUCAAUUAGGUUCCUAAUUUUGUCAAUUUGAAUCAAUAAAAGUCUUUCCGUUAAAUGCAGUUAACGCCGUGAAGUUUUUGAACAUGUGGCACGCUGACGCUUCUAGAUGGCACAGUUUCAAGUGCAUAGGUGGAUUAUAAAAGGGUGAAAUCCCUUUAAU